CCUACGGGUGGCUGCAGUGAGGAAUAUUGGACAAUGGUCGGAACCCUGAUGCAGCGAAGCCGCGUGAGUGAAGAAGUUUUUCGGUAUGGAAAGCUCCAUCAGCCGGGGAGAUAAUGACGGUACCUGCCUACGGAUCCGCGUCUAACUACGAGCCAGCAGCCGCGGCACUACGUAGGGGGCAGGCGUUAUCCGGAUGUACCGGGUGUAAGGGGGGCGUAGGUGGCAGGGCAAGUCAGAUGUGAAGGCCCGGGGAUCAACCCCGGGACUGCAUUUGAAACUGUCAAGCUGGAGUGAAGGAGAGGUAAGCGGAAUGCCUAGUGUAGCGGUGAAAUGCGUAGAUAUUAGGAAGAACACCAGUGGCGAAGGCGGCUUGCUGGACAGUAACUGACGUUGAGGCUCGAAAGCGUGGGGAGCAAACAGGAUUAGAUACCCCAGUAGUC
RNAcentral lists this ribosomal RNA (440 nucleotides) under uncultured bacterium. RNAcentral's name for it is "partial 16S ribosomal RNA". It matches the Rfam family "Bacterial small subunit ribosomal RNA", at positions 338 to 795 of the family's 1533-position model. The record is from RNAcentral.